GACGUUGUGUUUUUCACUCCCUGCUUAAGGAUGUAAAUGAAGACCCUGGAGAAGAUGUGGCCCUCCUUUCUGUCAGUUUUGAGGACACGGAAGCCACUCAGGUGUAUCCCAAGCUGUACUUGUCACCCCGAAUUGAACAUGCACUUGGAGGCUCCUCAGCUCUUCAUAUCCCAGCUUUUCCAGGAGGAGGAUGUCUCAUUGAUUAUGUGCCUCAAGUAUGCCACCUACUCACCAACAAGGUGCAGUAUGUGA
RNAcentral lists this long non-coding RNA (252 nucleotides) under Ursus americanus (American black bear). Its description in RNAcentral is "lncRNA (ENSUAMG00000000369.1)". Lineage: Eukaryota; Metazoa; Chordata; Mammalia; Carnivora; Ursidae. The record is from RNAcentral.